CCAAGGCAAGCAGACUUUCGGACUCCAUAUCAUCUCCCUGCUAAGAAACUGCUGCAGUCACAGGUGAGGUUCCCUGGGAAUCCAACUGUGGGACAGUGACUGGCUUGUGCCAAGAGAGGAGAUGCCCUCAGGAUCAUAACUGAUCAGAAGAGAAGAAAGCACGAUUGAGCGGAGGGAAUCAUCAUGGAAGCAUUAAUCAAUUCUACAAGGAGCUCUGAGGAAAGGGAGAUUGAAGCCUGUGGGGAAUCCUUCAGCUGCGAACUGUGAGGUUGGGCAUCACAAGACUAACCCCCACCCACCACACACUGGAUUGGCAACAACAGCUGCAGUGACAGGGGUGCCUCACUACCAAACACAGGGUGAUGAGGGUAAAAGCAAUCAAAUCCAGCAGAGAAGCUGAAGUCAUGGGGUCUCAAAUAGAGGUGAGAGACCUUUGU
Long non-coding RNA from Zalophus californianus (California sea lion), 437 nucleotides. RefSeq lists it as uncharacterized. NCBI's taxonomy places the organism in Eukaryota, Metazoa, Chordata, Mammalia, Carnivora, Otariidae. The transcript is spliced from 3 exons. The record is from RefSeq and is a predicted model, not a curated record.